This 75-nucleotide transfer RNA is filed under the name Candidatus Omnitrophota bacterium. Its description in RNAcentral is "Candidatus Omnitrophica bacterium (groundwater metagenome) tRNA-Pro". It matches the Rfam family "tRNA". Rfam says of the family: Transfer RNA (tRNA) molecules are approximately 80 nucleotides in length. Lineage: Bacteria; Pseudomonadati; Candidatus Omnitrophota. The record is from RNAcentral.
CGGGGCGUAGCUCAGCUUGGCUAGAGCGCCACGUUUGGGACGUGGAUGUCGCAGGUUCGAAUCCUGCCGCCCCGA